GUUGAACUGUACUGGGGCUUGACAAGAGGAAGUUUGGAGAGCGCUGGAAGAGAAGGUUUAAUGUCUCGGCGUUCAGAAACAGAGACAGAGGAAUGUCUCAAACAAUGACCCGGAUCAUGUGUGGAUCGGAGUACAUUGUGCUGGAAUUCAGCUUGUCUGACGGAAGAUUCCCGUUCUAAAAAGAGCAGAUGGGUCAAAGGUAAAAGCCGUGAGGCCUGUUCCUACACGAGUAUUCCUGCCGUCAUCUUCCACUGCACAAGUCGGUGUGCUACAAUCGCUGCUUGAAAGCCAAUGCAAAUCUGACAGAUCAAUCGACACACCUCAGAGCCGUACAGAUGCCAUGAAAGUGUGCUUACAUUAUUGCUUUUGUGCUGGUUAACACAUUUUCAUGUGUGUCUUCUGACAGCGGUCAUUGCGACUCCUGAAGUUUGUGGAGAGAUGAGAGAGAAUUUGUGAAUCGCACAUGGCCCGGAGCGUCUGACCUCUGUUGCCCCAAGGAAGCCGUUUCCAUGACAACCCCCCACUCAGCCGGAGUCCAACCAAUCGCUGACGAUUGUGAAUUCCUGCAGGUUUAGAAAGAGAGAGGAAAAAGUUCUCAAUGCACUCGGAGAUGAUAAUAUUACAGCCACGUUUGGAGACAAAAAUGUGUUCGCCGAUUGUAUUAUUAGAGACUUUAUACAGCAUUUAACGUCUGGUGGAAUGUUUUGUAUUUCACAGAAGGAAGAAGUCUUAUGGGUUUGGAAAAACAGAAGUGAGUAAAAGUCUUAUUUUUGGGUGCACUGUUCCUUUAAUUAACACAUGGAUGGGAUGGUGGAAAAAGUUAGAUAUUUAACUUCUAAAUUCUCUUUAUUUAACUAUCUAAAUUACAUAUCUAUAUAUAAAAAAAUCUUCUUUUUGGGACACACUGUUUAAUAUUCUAAUUAUUACUAAUAAUGCAUUUAUCUACAUAAAAAAACAUUUACAAAAUAAAUAACUGGAUAAAUAACAAAAUAUACAAAAUCAUGCACGUGCUUUAAACUAUGUUCAGUACAUAAAAUGACAAAUCAGUACAAUCCACUGAAUGAGUGCGAGAGAGUGCAAAACACUCUUCUGCAUCUCUCUCUCUCCUC
Molecule: long non-coding RNA, 1109 nt
Organism: Triplophysa rosa
Lineage: Eukaryota; Metazoa; Chordata; Actinopteri; Cypriniformes; Nemacheilidae
Exons: 3
Source: RefSeq, a predicted model, not a curated record